This is a non-coding RNA of Odocoileus virginianus texanus, 243 nucleotides long. The record is from RefSeq and is a predicted model, not a curated record. Lineage: Eukaryota; Metazoa; Chordata; Mammalia; Artiodactyla; Cervidae.
UUUGUAUACAAUGGAAUUUUACUCAGCCAUAAAAUGAAAUUCUGCCAUUUACAACAAUGUGAUGGACCUAGAGAGAAUAAUGCUUGACACAGGUGGCCCCAUCCUAUAGAGAAGAAACACAUUAGAGAAGAAUUUGGGUCUUGGAUGAACAACUGAACAACUGAAUUAAGCAAUGCUGAUUAAUCCACCCCUUCUGGGUUUCUGUUAAUGUGGUGUCCUAUCCUGAAAGAUGAUGCUGUGAAA